Molecule: ribosomal RNA, 429 nt
Filed under: uncultured archaeon
Lineage: Archaea
Description: bacterial SSU rRNA
Rfam family: Archaeal small subunit ribosomal RNA
Source: RNAcentral
UACCAGCUCUCCGAGUUGUAGGGAUGAUUAUUGGGCUUAAAGCGUCCGUAGCUGGCUUAGCAAGUCUCCUGUUAAAUUCAGCGACCUAAUCGUUGAGCCGCGGGAGAUACUACUAGGCUAGGAGGCGGGAGAGGUCGACGGCACUUUCGGGGUAGGGGUGAAAUCCUAUAAUCCCGGGAGGAUCACCAGUGGCGAAGGCUGUCGACUAGAACGCGCUCGACGGUGAGGGACGAAAGCUGGGGGAGCGAACCGGAUUAGAUACCCGGGUAGUCCCAGCUGUAAACUAUGCGGGCUAGGUGUUGGGGUGGCUACGGGCCACUUCAGUGCCGCAGGAAAGCCAUUAAGCCCGCCGCCUGGGGAGUACGGCCGCAAGGCUGAAACUUAAAGGAAUUGGCGGGGGAGCACCACAAGGCGUGAAGCUUGCGGUUC